Molecule: ribosomal RNA, 627 nt
Filed under: Leifsonia sp. AaD57b
Lineage: Bacteria; Bacillati; Actinomycetota; Actinomycetes; Micrococcales; Microbacteriaceae
Description: bacterial SSU rRNA
Rfam family: Bacterial small subunit ribosomal RNA
Source: RNAcentral
GCGGCGUGCUUAACACAUGCAAGUCGAACGAUGAACCAGGAGCUUGCUCUUGGGAAUUAGUGGCGAACGGGUGAGUAACACGUGAGUAACCUGCCCUUGACUCUGGGAUAACCUCCGGAAACGGAAGCUAAUACCGGAUACGACGUACGGAGGCAUCUCCUGUACGUGGAAAGAACUUCGGUCAAGGAUGGACUCGCGGCCUAUCAGGUAGUUGGUGAGGUAACGGCUCACCAAGCCUACGACGGGUAGCCGGCCUGAGAGGGUGACCGGCCACACUGGGACUGAGACACGGCCCAGACUCCUACGGGAGGCAGCAGUGGGGAAUAUUGCACAAUGGGCGCAAGCCUGAUGCAGCAACGCCGCGUGAGGGAUGACGGCCUUCGGGUUGUAAACCUCUUUUAGUAGGGAAGAAGCGAAAGUGACGGUACCUGCAGAAAAAGCACCGGCUAACUACGUGCCAGCAGCCGCGGUAAUACGUAGGGUGCGAGCGUUGUCCGGAAUUAUUGGGCGUAAAGAGCUCGUAGGCGGUCUGUCGCGUUUGCUGUGAAAACCCGAGGCUCAACCUCGGGCCUGCAGUGGGUACGGGCAGACUAUAGUGCGCUAGGGGAGGAUGGAAUUCCUGGUGUA